GAUGUUGGUUACAAAGGAGAAGGCUUCUGUUUACACAAUACCUUGGUAAUCAGCAAUGAUGGGAAAGGGAAUAUAGAAAAAGGGAGCCUGGUAGUUUAACGAGCAUUGAUAAAACUCAACGUUUUUAAAGAAAAAAUUCACCAUCAAGUGUAUCGACUAAUACUCCAAAUGCUACACUUUUAAAAGCGUUAUUCUACUGUAGAUGGAAUUAUAGAUAGCAGAUUCAGGCAAUAUGCAGUUGCAAGCUGCGCAUCAGAGCCCUGCAACUAAUCAGUGCCACAAAAUAACAGGAAAAGCAAGACUGAAUAACAUAAGAUUCUUUCAGGUGGAGGAGCGGCUGCCUGGGGAGCAGAUGCCACCGCUGGUCCAGGAAUUGCCCGUGUGCGGCGGGUGGUGCCACCAUUUUUCCCUUCCUGAAGUCAAGUUUAGCCGCCCCCCCCGCUCCCCGCCCCCCCAGCAUGUCUAGCUUUCAUAAGCGGUACUGGAGGUAUGCGGAGCUGAGUCUGUUCACCCAGGUCUCCCAGCUGGUGAUGAGCUGAGCUGUUUCGCAGGACCAGUGCUCUAAGGAUCAAGCUUAAUUUGCCUAAGCUGUUUAUUUGCAAUAGCUUCAGACACAGCAAGGUAGCAACAGAGCGCUAGCGUGAAGAUUAGACAAUUUUUAUAUUUUUUUAAAAAUAAAAAUAGAGGAUGGGAAACAAGAGAAGGGUGUAAAAUGGCUUAAAUGCUUAACACAUCAAAUUGUAAUACAGAAAAAGCAUGUAUGUGACUUCGGCUAAUUUCACAAAUAAAAGCAGUGGAAAGAAAACAUUCCAGCUGGAAGCACAUUCACAUGAAUCACACAUAUUUCAUGUUCCCAGGUAACCAUGCCACCCCUUUGAC
Molecule: long non-coding RNA, 879 nt
Organism: Cygnus olor (mute swan)
Lineage: Eukaryota; Metazoa; Chordata; Aves; Anseriformes; Anatidae
Exons: 3
Source: RefSeq, a predicted model, not a curated record